UUUAGUGUGGAUCGUUGUCCUUGGACUGCAGAUCGCCAAGGUUUUAAUCAGCUUUGUGCAUAUUUUCUUUCUAGAAGUACUCUAUGAUUAGUUUUCCUUUGCUUCUCGCAUCAAUGAGCUAGAUUGAUGGAUUUCUCUUGUGAUGGAUACAGAAUCAUACAACUACUUGUUCGGUGCUGUAUUGGGUACUAAACAAGCCUCUACCUGCAGGCCCAAGCACUAGCACUCGUUCAGAGACCAAGGAAUCUGAAAAAGCAAAGGUCUCUAUUCUUGAGAAUAUUUAUUGGAAGGAAGUUGGUGUACUUUCUGCAGUGUGGAUCGUUGUCCUUGGACUGCAGAUCGCCAAGAAUCAUACAACUACUUGUUCGGUACUGUAUUGGGUACUAAACCUAUUGCAAGUACCUUUAAACAACUUCAACGAGAAUAGAAGAGCUGUGGGCUCGGAUGCUAAGAUUCUUGAAAACUAUUGCUUGAGCAUCUUGGUGAUGGUUUAUUUUCCUUUUGUCAUCAUCAGAUCCCAAUAAGUGUUGAAGUGACUUCAUAUGAAGCCGUGAACCUAUACAAAGGGCAGAGAGUGAUCGCAUCAAAGGGAGAAGCAGACACAAAUUAGCGAGUGCACCAGCUGGUUCUUUAUUGUGCAUGUGGAAUAUUAGCCGACGUAGUCGGAGGGUUGCUUGGUCUUGGUGGAGAAUUCAUUUUGGGUCCACUUUUUCUGGAGCUGGGAGUCCUUCCUCAGGUGCGUUGGGUGCUUCGAACAAAUCUUCAUAUAUUUUGAGAGAUUGUGUUAGAUGUCAGCGUUGUUAAUUUUUUUUUUUCCCCUUUCGGCUGAUCAUUAUUUUUUAUUUUUCUUUCAGUCUCCUUUUCUCUUUUGUUUGUUUUUUCUUCCAUCGCGGAUUCGCAGGGAAAUGAAUACAUGUUGUUCAUUUUCUACAAA
Long non-coding RNA from Carya illinoinensis, 934 nucleotides. RefSeq lists it as uncharacterized. NCBI's taxonomy places the organism in Eukaryota, Viridiplantae, Streptophyta, Magnoliopsida, Fagales, Juglandaceae. The transcript has 3 exons. The record is from RefSeq and is a predicted model, not a curated record.